Rhagoletis pomonella (apple maggot) is the source of this 1342-nucleotide long non-coding RNA. RefSeq lists it as uncharacterized. The transcript has 3 exons. NCBI's taxonomy places the organism in Eukaryota, Metazoa, Arthropoda, Insecta, Diptera, Tephritidae. The record is from RefSeq and is a predicted model, not a curated record.
GGUAAAGGAAAUUGAGUGCGAGGAUUCAAUCCUUCACAAAAAUAUCUUAAGAAUGACUCCAGCUCAGUUUGCAUUCUUAUUAGAAAAAGUACGCCCCUAUAUUAGCAAGCAAAUUCAGGAACUGCAUAGGAGCUGCGAAACGGCUGCAGCUGACAUUGCGAUAUCUAUCCACUGGUGAAACCCAAAGGUCACUUCAAUUGCCGUUCCGAAUUCAGCAGUCAACCAUUUCCAGAAUUUUAAAGGAAUCAAUUCCCGCAAUAUAUUUGGCGUUAAGGGAGGAGUAUUUGAAAUUCCCUGCAAGUAAGCAAGAUUGGCGUGAUAUUGCAAAAGACUUUUAUCAGAUGUGGGGAUUCCCGAACUGCAUCGGCGCUUUAGAUGGUAAACUAACAAUUAACACUUUUAAAUUCACUCAACUGAUGAAACGUCUCAGGAAAGCAUUGCAGAAUACUGCCAGUGAGGAAAGCAGGAUCUACGUAUUUCAAUUACAAAGGAUACCAUUCAUUUGUAUUGAUGGCAAUCGCUGAUGCCCACUAUCGUUUUAUUUAUGCUGAUGUCGGUGUUAAUGGGAGAGUGGGUGAUGCUGGAAUUUGGUUGAACUCGGCCUGAAAUACGCUAAUGAAAAAAAUGAAGUACAUAUACCAGCCCCAUGCACGCUCCCUUUCAUGUCAACUCCCUCGCCUUUUGUGCUUUUAGCCGAUGAUGCCUUUGCUCUAAAAGACUACUUAAUGAAACCUUACUCUCAUCUAAGACUAUCACCAAGCGAACUUAAAUACAACAACAUACUUUCGAGGAACAGGCGCGUUGUUGAAAAUGCUUUUGGCAUUCUUGCGAACCGUUUUCGAGUUUUAUUUUCACCCAUCCAUCGCGCUCCAGCUGCAGCCAUUCAGAUUGUAUUAUCUUGCGUAUGUGUGCACAACUUUUUAAGAACAGAAAAUGUGAAAAAGAAAACUACGUUUGACGCCAUUUCCGAAAGUGAAAUAGAUGCAAUAAUAGAUAACAACUAUACAACAACCGCUUCUGAAAGAAAUGCGUCAAAAAGGAGCGCUGAAGAAAUAAGAAAAACUUUGGAAAACUAUUUUUCUGCGGUAAAUUAAAAUAUCGUUUCAUUGUUUAAAUAAACCAAAACUUUUCGUGUUGGAAAUUUUCCAUACUAGUAGAAGCAACAAUUGGUUUAUUUGGUGAUUAAAUAAAUGAGUACAAUGUCUUCAAUUUAUGUACAUACCUACUAGCUAAUACCUGCCUACUUAGCGCAACCAAAUAUUUUAAUGAAAGUAAUAUUAAGGUAAAAAAGUGGUAAGAAUAAUCAAAAUACAUAUUCACUCGGCAAAAUAAUAACUCUGCC